AGGAUGGAAUCAUUAUCAAUGUGGCUUGCGCUCAAUCGGGACGUAUAAAAACACUUUGAUACCACACACGAGACGGGUGAUAAAAACUGGAAGCCAGUGAAUAUGUUAAAGAAGCGGGCACUUGUCUGUCAAUGGUGGUAACAACCGUCCACACUAGUUGUGAAUUAAAAGUUUCUAGUCAGACAAGUUUCAGAAACCUGCCUGUAACUGUGUGUGUUGGUGUGAUGGCAUGGGACUAAGAAGCGGGCACUUGUCUAGCAAUAGUGUAGGAGGUGAAUCUACCUAAAAAGAAGUACGAUUUAUAAUAAUAUGCAUCCAUAGAACUAAACCGUUGAGAUGGGAAAGUGUACGAAUACGUAACCCAUACUAGAACCACACACGUGUACCAAUCGGCUGAGAUGCCUUUACCAACGUGCAUUAUGAAGUGCAAUGUUUAUUACCUUACAUGCAUCACGUUCGCGUUUGGUGGCGUGACAAUUGGUGCUUUAGCAUUAGCUGUUGGCACUGAUUCCUGGUUAUUAACUAAAGAACUGAUUUUAAUGCGAGAUGAGAAUAAUACUAUAUUUGAAGGAUCUCCUAAAAUGUGGAUGUCAACAAGAAGCGGCUUGUGGAAAAUUUGUAUUAUAUACGAUGUCUUAGGGGAGAUUAUGGAGAGUUGUGAUCAGAUACAUUUUAACGUGGAAGCUGUCAGUGGUCGGGAACAUGACGCCGAAACGUCCAUGAUCAUCGUCACCGCUAUAAGAAAAGCUGUACCACUUCCUGUGGUAGCCUUAUUACUGUGUAUUGUGGGAUUUAUAUUUAAUGUUGUUGGCAGUAUCCAUAGAGACGUGAAAACAUUAACAGCAGCUGUGUGCUACGUUUUAUCA
Molecule: RNA transcript, 866 nt
Organism: Patella vulgata (common limpet)
Lineage: Eukaryota; Metazoa; Mollusca; Gastropoda; Patellidae
Exons: 4
Source: RefSeq, a predicted model, not a curated record